This is a long non-coding RNA of Homo sapiens (human), 337 nucleotides long. RefSeq lists it as uncharacterized. The record is from RefSeq and is a predicted model, not a curated record. The transcript has 2 exons. Lineage: Eukaryota; Metazoa; Chordata; Mammalia; Primates; Hominidae.
GCACCUCCCAGGAGAUGCUAUUCUAGUCAUGUUCUUCAGCGUAAAGAGAUAAAUGAUGCUUCCUCUCAACUGAGUGACUAGAAGAAAUCCUGAACUUCACAGAUGAGCUCACACCACCCAGAUUGAUAAACUGGCCUAUCUCAUCCUGUGGCCCCCUCCCAGGAAGUGACUCAGCACGAGAGGACAGUAUCAACUCCCUAUGAUUUCAUCUCUCACCUGACCAAUCAGAACUCUUGACUCACUGGCCCCCCUACCCACCAAAUUAUCUUUAAAAACUCCAGUCCUCAAAUUCUCAGAGAGACUGAUUUGAAUAAUAACAAAACUCUGGUGUACUGCA